CGAAAAACAUGAAUGUGUGUUCCUAUGUUGUAGUUUAGUCUUAGUCUUUAAUAAAUAUUUAAGUCAUUUUUCUUUAAGUUAUUUAUCCUUGGCUAUAUACGCUUGGCCAUUAAGAUUUUCAAUCGGCAUCUUUAACAAGAAAAUGUAUCAUAUAUCAAUAGUGAAAGAACCGUAUCCUGGUAAAUUAGACAAGAAAAGAAAACGGCGUGCAGAUUUUAUGCAAAGUCACGUCCGAAACAUAUGAAUCUUGCGAGAAAAUAGUGCGAGAAAACAAUUAGGAAAAUAAUGGUCGAAACAUAUGGACGCCAAUUGUGAGUUCCAAAUUCUGACGGAAUUUCGCAUGGCGCAGAGCUAUACAACGGAUACAAAGUAGGUAAGCGGCCAGUAGUUUAUUGAGCAUGACGGUAUCGCGGCACGAUCGUGUCUUAUACAUGCCUUCUCUAAUGGACUUCGUAUUCUCUUGUUCGGACGCCGAACGUCCCAUGUGGACAAUGUCGAAAGAUGUACACGUCAUCGCGAAACGACGGGGUGAUCCGCACCGAAAUGACAAAGAUACAAAUAAUUUAAAAUUGAAUAUGAAUCUGUAACGGAAGAUGGCUUAAAUAAGUUCAAUCUCCUUUUA
Long non-coding RNA from Pogonomyrmex barbatus (red harvester ant), 622 nucleotides. NCBI's taxonomy places the organism in Eukaryota, Metazoa, Arthropoda, Insecta, Hymenoptera, Formicidae. The record is from RefSeq and is a predicted model, not a curated record.